UACGUAAGCAGCAAGCGUUGUUCGGAAUUACUGGGCGUAAAGAGUGUGUAGGUGGUGCUCCAAGUCUGUUGUGAAAUCUCCCGGCUUAACUGGGAGGGUGCGGCGGAAACUGGAAUGCUUGAGGAUGGGAGAGGAAAGCGGAAUUCCUGGUGUAGCGGUGAAAUGCGUAGAUAUCAGGAGGAACACCCGUGGUGUAGACAGCUUUCUGGACCAUUUCUGACACUGAGACACGAAAGCGUGGGUAGCAAACAGGAUUAGAUACCCUGGUAGUCCACGCCCUAAACGAUGCAUACUUGGUGUGAGCGAUUCAUUUCGUUCGUGCCGGAGCUAACGCGUUAAGUAUGCCGCCUGGGGAGUACGGUCGCAAGGCUGAA
This 374-nucleotide ribosomal RNA is filed under the name uncultured bacterium. RNAcentral describes it as "bacterial SSU rRNA". It matches the Rfam family "Bacterial small subunit ribosomal RNA", at positions 524 to 898 of the family's 1533-position model. The record is from RNAcentral.